CCGUACGUAAGUGCGCUCUCUCCGGUGGGUACAUUAAGGGCUAUCUGCAAUUUCCUUUUAACAGUGUGGGCAUUGUCUCCACGGUCUAAUUCGAUGCCCAACACACAGCCGGUAUCAGUUUGGACAAAUACGCGUUUCCAACUAGCAGGUCUUCCCUCGCUCUUGUUCUUGCCGUGAUAUUCGCUGCUGAAGGAGUGGUUCAAAACUUCGACAGCCAUCUGUGUCUGAACAGGGCUAUCCAAGUUAGGAGACAUGGAACAGAAGAGCUGAGGAAGUGAGGUCGGCAAAAACGAUGGGCAAAGGCAGAGAAGAAGCACUUCUUCCUUCUCCUCUUUCUCAAGUGAAGAUCGGGCACUGAUGUAGGUGCAGAUAUAUAGAGAGGAA
Molecule: long non-coding RNA, 384 nt
Filed under: Ananas comosus (pineapple)
Lineage: Eukaryota; Viridiplantae; Streptophyta; Magnoliopsida; Poales; Bromeliaceae
Description: long non-coding RNA (ACOM_LNC004546)
Source: RNAcentral